This 63-nucleotide transfer RNA is filed under the name Chrysolina haemoptera. RNAcentral describes it as "tRNA-His". The record is from RNAcentral. Lineage: Eukaryota; Metazoa; Arthropoda; Insecta; Coleoptera; Chrysomelidae.
AUUCAAAUAGUUUAUUAAAAAUAUUGAUUUGUGGAGUCAAAGAUAUAAAAGUUAUUUUGGAUA